Molecule: long non-coding RNA, 562 nt
Organism: Mesocricetus auratus (golden hamster)
Lineage: Eukaryota; Metazoa; Chordata; Mammalia; Rodentia; Cricetidae
Exons: 2
Source: RefSeq, a predicted model, not a curated record
CCCGGGAGAUUUUUAAUAAUGGGCUCUAGGGGGAAGAAAGGCCUCGACAUCCAGGGCUCACCAGUUUCUGUGGUUGAAACCAUAGCCGAUUUCAAGCUACCAACAUGUUGUCAACUGGCUCAUAAAAAUCCCGGAGAUCAGCUUUCAGAAGCCCAUGCGAGCUAGCUGUGGCACAAACCUGGACCCAGCAAACUGUGGGGAGACAGAGCUGUUAGCCUUCACAGGUGUGGAAAUCAGAUGUCCAGUGAUGGCCUCAAGACCGCUCAGCUGAUCUGAACACAGCUUCGAGUCAAGUUUUCCCCCUCCUUCUCCAAACCUCCAGAGCCCUAUCACCACGCCCCCUUUAAAAAUAUAGAUGUAUUGAAUAAGUCUAUUUCAGUUCCCUAUGAGCAUUUAAAAGCUGGAAGCUGAGGACGUGUGUAAGUUAUUUCUGACUUUCCACUUUAAAAAUGAGAUGUAUGACAGUUGCAGCGCAAUGUUGGCCCCAGCUCAGAGUUAUGCAUGAGGUUUUAUUAUGUUUAAAUUCUUGCAUAAUUAAAUAAACAGCGGCCCGGGGAAAGCA